GACCCUGUGGCCUAAUGGAUAAGGCGUCAGCCUCCGGAGCUGAAGAUUGUGGGUUCGAGUCCCAUCAGGGUCG
Molecule: non-coding RNA, 73 nt
Organism: Ciona intestinalis (vase tunicate)
Lineage: Eukaryota; Metazoa; Chordata; Ascidiacea; Phlebobranchia; Cionidae
Source: Rfam